RNAcentral lists this ribosomal RNA (618 nucleotides) under uncultured Sphingomonas sp. Its description in RNAcentral is "partial 16S ribosomal RNA". It matches the Rfam family "Bacterial small subunit ribosomal RNA", at positions 1061 to 1474 of the family's 1533-position model. The record is from RNAcentral. Lineage: Bacteria; Pseudomonadati; Pseudomonadota; Alphaproteobacteria; Sphingomonadales; Sphingomonadaceae.
UNUACUAUGAAGGNCNGNGAAGAGGGACUCUNCUCCUUGGNGUGUUAAUCUUCCUGCUCGUGAAUNUUUUGUAUAUUUGGUGAGCCGUANGAUUGNGGGUUACCAAGGGGGCCGUGNNGUAGUUNUGUCNUGAGUUAGUAAUGGAUAUGCUUAUGUGGUCAUUUAAAAUGGGUUCCCCUCUGGUCUAAAAGUCAGAUGGCAUGACNAUAUCUCUGCNUUCAGUCUCNNAUAUGGUUNGCUCAUUCAUUUAAGUGUUUGNGGCAUCUUCUAAUGGAAUAGCUUGCCGGUGAUAAGNCCGGAGGAAGGUGGGGAUGACGUCAAGUCCUCAUGGCCCUUUACGCGCUGGGCUUACACACGUGCUACAAUGGCGGUGACAGUGGGCAGCAACCUCGCGAGAGGUAGCUAAUCUCCAAAAGGCCGUCUCAGUUCGGAAUUGUUCUCGUGCAAACUCGAGGAGCAUGAAGUCAGAAUCGCUAUGUAAUCGCGGAUCAGAAUGCCGUCGGUGAAUACGUUCCCGGGCCAUUGUACACACCGCCCGUGGGGCGGGGGGGCGGGCCAGGGCGCGGGGCGCGGANAGGGCGAAUGCUAUAGCAUUGCCGGCCAGUGGCCAGGUCAGUC